UGGGGAAUAUUGCACAAUGGGCGCAAGCCUGAUGCAGCCAUGCCGCGUGUGUGAAGAAGGCCUUCGGGUUGUAAAGCACUUUCAGCGAGGAGGAAGGUGGUGAGCUUAAUACGCUCAUCAAUUGACGUUACUCGCAGAAGAAGCACCGGCUAACUCCGUGCCAGCAGCCGCGGUAAUACGGAGGGUGCAAGCGUUAAUCGGAAUUACUGGGCGUAAAGCGCACCAGGCGGUUUGUUAAGUCAGAUGUGAAAUCCCCGGGCUCAACCUGGGAACUGCAUUUGAAACUGGCAAGCUAGAGUCUCGUAGAGGGGGGUAGAAUUCCAGGUGUAGCGGUGAAAUGCGUAGAGAUCUGGAGGAAUACCGGUGGCGAAGGNGGCCCCCUGGACGAAGACUGACGCUCAGGUGCGAAAGCGUGGGGAGCAAAA
This 425-nucleotide ribosomal RNA is filed under the name uncultured bacterium. Its description in RNAcentral is "partial 16S ribosomal RNA". It matches the Rfam family "Bacterial small subunit ribosomal RNA", at positions 355 to 773 of the family's 1533-position model. The record is from RNAcentral.